UGAGGAAUAUUGGUCAAUGGGCGAGAGCCUGAACCAGCCAAGUCGCGUGAGGGAAGACGGUCCUACGGAUUGUAAACCUCUUUGUCGGGGAGCAAUAAAGCGUACGCGUACGCAGAUGCGAGUACCCGAAGAAAAAGCAUCGGCUAACUCCGUGCCAGCAGCCGCGGUAAUACGGAGGAUGCGAGCGUUAUCCGGAUUUAUUGGGUUUAAAGGGUGCGCAGGCGGAAAGUGCAAGUCAGCGGUCAAACGACGGGGCUCAACCCCGUCUCGCCGUUGAAACUGUCUUUCUAGAGUGAGCGAGAAGUAUGCGGAAUGCGUGGUGUAGCGGUGAAAUGCAUAGAUAUCACGCAGAACUCCGAUUGCGAAGGCAGCAUACCGGCGCCCAACUGACGCUGAGGCACGAAAGCGUGGGGAUCGAACAGGAUUAGAUACCC
This 434-nucleotide ribosomal RNA is filed under the name uncultured bacterium. RNAcentral's name for it is "bacterial SSU rRNA". It matches the Rfam family "Bacterial small subunit ribosomal RNA", at positions 355 to 787 of the family's 1533-position model. The record is from RNAcentral.